UUGCCCCUCACCUGAACAGCAAGACUAGAGACAGGGUCCUUGUCUCAGCAUUCACUCGUUCCCUUAAAGACCCGUUUCCUCCUGCUCGCUCAGCUGGUAUAGGAGCACUGGGCUCCACCCUCUCUUACUACACACCCGUUGACAUGGCAACCAGGAUCAUCCCCUCACUGAGUCACAUGAUUGUAGAUAAAAACCAGUCCGUCCGAAAGCAGGCACAUAAAGUUUUGAAGUUGUAUGUCGAUAAAUUAGAGGAACACUUAAAGAAGAUGGAGCCGUCGUCUGAUGGAGAAGGAAUUGAACAAACUGAAAGUAUUAGGAGGCAGCAAGGAAGAAAAUAUUAGCUGGUAUGUCACUGAAACCAACUGGACUGGGAGCAGUCAAGAAAGACUGAGACCAAAGGAGUACAAUGAACUUUUUUUAUUGUUUUAUGUAUGUGUAUUUUACUAUUUU
Long non-coding RNA from Amphimedon queenslandica, 450 nucleotides. RefSeq lists it as uncharacterized. Lineage: Eukaryota; Metazoa; Porifera; Demospongiae; Haplosclerida; Niphatidae. The transcript is spliced from 3 exons. The record is from RefSeq and is a predicted model, not a curated record.